GGCGGCAGGCCUAACACAUGCAAGUCGAACGGUAACAGGAAUCAAGCUUGUUUAUUUGCUGACGAGUGGCGGACGGGUGAGUAAUGUCUGGGAAACUGCCUGAUGGAGGGGGAUAACUACUGGAAACGGUAGCUAAUACCGCAUAACGUCGCAAGACCAAAGAGGGGGACCUUCGGGCCUCUUGCCAUCGGAUGUGCCCAGAUGGGAUUAGCUAGUAGGUGGGGUAAAGGCUCACCUAGGCGACGAUCCCUAGCUGGUCUGAGAGGAUGACCAGCCACACUGGAACUGAGACACGGUCCAGACUCCUACGGGAGGCAGCAGUGGGGAAUAUUGCACAAUGGGCGCAAGCCUGAUGCAGCCAUGCCGCGUGUAUGAAGAAGGCCUUCGGGUUGUAAAGUACUUUCAGCGGGGAGGAAGGGAGUAAAGUUAAUACCUUUGCUCAUUGACGUUACCCGCAGAAGAGCACCGCUACUCCGUGCCAGCAGC
This 486-nucleotide ribosomal RNA is filed under the name Escherichia coli. RNAcentral describes it as "bacterial SSU rRNA". It matches the Rfam family "Bacterial small subunit ribosomal RNA", at positions 38 to 515 of the family's 1533-position model. Lineage: Bacteria; Pseudomonadati; Pseudomonadota; Gammaproteobacteria; Enterobacterales; Enterobacteriaceae. The record is from RNAcentral.